RNAcentral lists this ribosomal RNA (504 nucleotides) under uncultured bacterium. RNAcentral's name for it is "partial 16S ribosomal RNA". It matches the Rfam family "Bacterial small subunit ribosomal RNA", at positions 29 to 523 of the family's 1533-position model. The record is from RNAcentral.
AUUGAACGCUGGCGGCAGGCCUAACACAUGCAAGUCGAACGGUAGCACAGAGAGCUUGCUCUCGGGUGACGAGUGGCGGACGGGUGAGUAACGUCUGGGAAACUGCCCGAUGGAGGGGGAUAACUACUGGAAACGGUAGCUAAUACCGCAUAACGUCGCAAGACCAAAGUGGGGGACCUUCGGGCCUCACACCAUCGGAUGUGCCCAGAUGGGAUUAGCUAGUAGGUGGGGUAAUGGCUCACCUAGGCGACGCUCCCUAGCUGGUCUGGGAGGAUGCCCAGCGACACUGGAACUGAGACACGGUCCAGACUCCUACGGGAGGCAGCAGUGGGGGAUAUUGCACAAUGGGCGCAAGCCUGAUGCAGCCAUGCCGCGUGUAUGAAGAAGGCCUUCGGGUUGUAAAGUACUUUCAGCGGGGAGGAAGGCGGUGAAGUUAAUAGCUUAACCGAUUGACGUUACCCGCAGAAGAAGCACCGGCUAACUCCGUGCCAGCCGCCGCCGUAA